CAGAAGUUAGUUUAUUUAAAAUAUUAAUUUUGGGGAUUAAUGAUGAAGUAUUUACUUUUCUUUUGA
This 66-nucleotide transfer RNA is filed under the name Acidiella didymera. Its description in RNAcentral is "tRNA-Pro". Lineage: Eukaryota; Metazoa; Arthropoda; Insecta; Diptera; Tephritidae. The record is from RNAcentral.